CUCGGUUUAGCACCCAGAUCCCUUUCCCCGUGGAAACAGUGUAGUAAGUGGAAGUCAAGUCAACGGGCUGCCCCCCACAGUCUGCUGAGCGCACGUGGCGCCGAAGCCGGGCCCGCGGUCCCCACCGGCGCCCAGUGCCACCUGCUCCGCACGCAGCCGCGGCCGUGACCUCCCUGCGGCGACCCUUGUCAGCCUAGGACGCGGUGCCGCACGCCCGCCUUGACCCCCAGCCCCGUGUCACAGCAAGUCUGCAUCCUGUCCUGCAGGCACGGUCUCCCGCUCUGCUUUCCUGCGUGUCCACUGCGGCCCGCGCCGGGACCCGCUCUGGCCGGCGCUCUGCUCCAGGCCCCGGGCACCACCGGCCCUGCUGGUGCUUGGAGCCCCUGAGAACCCCCGGUCAGCCGAGGGUCCAGCCCCAGCAGCCGAAGCACCGAGCCCUGGCUCCUCCGUGCCGUCCCCACGGCCCACCCUGCAAGGCCGAGAGUCCGUGAGCCAUGAAGACGGCAGAUGCCCGGCCCGUGCUCCCCAGAGCCCCUCUGGACCGAAAAAGCUGCCUGAUCAGAGAAAGCUCACUUCGCCUAAGUGCGUCUAGGAUGCCGUCCAUGCAAGGACCAGGUCGUACUCACGGUUCCUGAGCGGGGCCUGGACGCCACUGAAGGUGUGAUCUGAGGAGGUGUCAGCCGAGAACUCAGAAGAGUGGAGGGAAAGCUAUUUGUCCUUUUCCACAAGGAGGGGAGGAGGCACCUGCUCCCCCAUCUGCGCUCAUCUCAUGGGGCGGAAGUGAGCCUUGACCAGAGCCUCUGCCUGGGGCCGUGUGCGCCUCUUCUCCUGGCUGAGGGACAUGGCUUCCUAUGGAAUGCGAUUUCAGGACUGGGAACCUACCUGAGGUUCCUGGAAUACCUGGUUCCCCCACCUGCUGGCUGCCUGGGGGUGGGAGCCCCAGAGAAAAUGUGUACCAGCCUCUAGUGUACAGUAUUUGUUCCCAAAGUGUGUUCCGUGGAACCAUCUCCUCAGCUACUCUGCAUCC
Lontra canadensis (Northern American river otter) is the source of this 1027-nucleotide long non-coding RNA. RefSeq lists it as uncharacterized. The transcript is spliced from 3 exons. Lineage: Eukaryota; Metazoa; Chordata; Mammalia; Carnivora; Mustelidae. The record is from RefSeq and is a predicted model, not a curated record.